Molecule: unclassified non-coding RNA, 166 nt
Filed under: fungal sp.
Lineage: Eukaryota; Fungi
Description: partial internal transcribed spacer region
Rfam family: Eukaryotic small subunit ribosomal RNA (bases 1-46)
Source: RNAcentral
AAGUCGUAACAAGGUUUCCGUAGGUGAACCUGCGGAAGGAUCAUUAACACGUAUCCAAACGUUAAAGCCCGGAGGUUUGCCAAAGGGUCCCCAUGCCCCCUAAUAGCUCCACAGUUUAAUGUGGGUAAAAAAACCGAACAACUGUUAACAAUGGAUAUCUUGGUUC